CCCGCUGAACUUAAGCAUAUCAAUAAGCGGAGGAAAAGAAACUAACAAGGAUUCCCCUAGUAACGGCGAGUGAAGCGGGAUGAGCUCAAAUUUAAAAUCUGGUAGCCUUUGGUUGCCCGAGUUGUAAUCUAGAGAAGCGUUUUCCGUGCUGGACUGUGUACAAGUUUCCUGGAUACGGAACAUCAUAGAGGGUGAGAAUCCCGUCCUUGACACAGACUCCCAGUGCUUUGUGAUGCGCUCUCAACGAGUCGAGUUGUUUGGGAUUGCAGCUCAAAAUGGGAGGUAAAUUCCAUCUAAAGCUAAAUAUUGGCGAGAGACCGAUAGCGAACAAGUACCGUGAGGGAAAGAUGAAAAGCACUUUGGAAAGAGAGUUAAACAGUACGUGAAAUUGUUGAAAGGGAAACGCUUGAAGUCAGUCGUGUUGGUCAGGAAUCAACCUUGCUUUUUUGCUUGGUGCACUUUCUGUUCCAACAGGUCAGCAUCAAUUUUGACCGGUGGAAAAAAGUUGAGUGAAUGUGGCAUCUUUAGAUGUGUUAUAGCACUUGAUUGCAUGCAUUGGUUGGGAUUGAGGUAUUCAGCACGCCGAAAGGCCGGAUUUUUACAUCACGCUCGUGCUUAGGAUGCUGGCAUAAUGGCUUUAAUCGACCCGUCUUGAAACACGG
RNAcentral lists this ribosomal RNA (662 nucleotides) under uncultured fungus. RNAcentral's name for it is "eukaryotic LSU rRNA". It matches the Rfam family "Eukaryotic large subunit ribosomal RNA", at positions 24 to 664 of the family's 3401-position model. Lineage: Eukaryota; Fungi. The record is from RNAcentral.